This is a long non-coding RNA of Alosa sapidissima (American shad), 124 nucleotides long. RefSeq lists it as uncharacterized. The transcript is spliced from 3 exons. The record is from RefSeq and is a predicted model, not a curated record. Lineage: Eukaryota; Metazoa; Chordata; Actinopteri; Clupeiformes; Clupeidae.
UAUAGUCCUGCGUCUGUGUCCGGCGCACGCAGCGAGUGGGGAGAAUUGCGUCAUCCACGCGGCAUGCAGAAGGUGUCGUGUGCCUCCCCACAAUUGUGACCGUGCGUGAAUUAACACGUCUUCA